RNAcentral lists this ribosomal RNA (466 nucleotides) under uncultured bacterium. RNAcentral describes it as "partial 16S ribosomal RNA". It matches the Rfam family "Bacterial small subunit ribosomal RNA", at positions 28 to 507 of the family's 1533-position model. The record is from RNAcentral.
GACGAACGCUGGCGGCGCGCCUAACACAUGCAAGUCGAACGAGCGAGCGAGAGCUUGCUUUCUUGAGCGAGUGGCGAACGGGUGAGUAACGCGUGAGGAACCUGCCUCAAAGAGGGGGACAACAGUUGGAAACGACUGCUAAUACCGCAUAAGCCCACGACCCGGCAUCGGGUUGAGGGAAAAGGAGCAAUCCGCUUUGAGAUGGCCUCGCGUCCGAUUAGCUAGUUGGUGAGGUAACGGCCCACCAAGGCGACGAUCGGUAGCCGGACUGAGAGGUUGAACGGCCACAUUGGGACUGAGACACGGCCCAGACUCCUACGGGAGGCAGCAGUGGGGAAUAUUGCACAAUGGGGGAAACCCUGAUGCAGCGACGCCGCGUGGAGGAAGAAGGUCUUCGGAUUGUAAACUCCUGUUGUUGAGGAAGAUAAUGACGGUACUCAACAAGGAAGUGACGGCUAACUACGUG